RNAcentral lists this ribosomal RNA (500 nucleotides) under uncultured bacterium. RNAcentral describes it as "partial 16S ribosomal RNA". It matches the Rfam family "Bacterial small subunit ribosomal RNA", at positions 30 to 523 of the family's 1533-position model. The record is from RNAcentral.
AUUGAACGCUGGCGGAAUGCUUUACACAUGCAAGUCGAACGGCAGCACGGACUUCGGUCUGGUGGCGAGUGUCGAACGGGUGAGUAAUGUAUCGGAACGUGCCCAGUCGUGGGGGAUAACGUAGUGAAAAUUACGCUAAUACCGCAUACGAUCUAUGGAUGAAAGCGGGGGAUCGCAAGACCCCGCGCGAUUGGAGCGGCCGAUAUCAGAUUAGGUAGUUGGUGGGGUAAAGGCCCACCAAGCCAACGAUCUGUAGCGGGUCUGAGAGGACGACCAGCCACACUGGAACUGAGACACGGUCCAGACUCCUACGGGAGGCAGCAGUGGGGAAUUUUGGACAAUGGGCGAAAGCCUGAUCCAGCCAUUCCGCGUGCAGGAUGAAGGCCCUCGGGUUGUAAACUGCUUUUGUACAGAACGAAAAGGUUUCUACUAAUACUAGGAGCUCAUGACGGUACUGUAAGAAUAAGCACCGGCUAACUACGUGCCAGCCGCCGCAGUAA